Non-coding RNA from Streptomyces autolyticus, 68 nucleotides. Lineage: Bacteria; Bacillati; Actinomycetota; Actinomycetes; Kitasatosporales; Streptomycetaceae. The record is from Rfam.
AGCUGCACCGGGUCGACAGCGCGGCUGGUCAGCAGGUAGUCGCGCAUCACGAUGCCGUGGCGCCCCUC